CCCUUAGAUGUUCUGGGCCGCACGCGCGCUACACUGACGAAUGCAACGAGCUUAUAACCUUGGCCGAAAGGUCUGGGUAAUCUCCAAAUUUCGUCGUGAUGGGGAUAGAUUAUUGCAAUUAUUAAUCUUCAACGAGGAAUGCCUAGUAAGCGCAAGUCAUCAGCUUGCGUUGAUUACGUCCCUGCCCUUUGUACACACCGCCCGUCGCUACUACCGAUUGAAUGGUUUAGUGAGGCCUCGGGACUUGCGCUGGCGAGCUGGCGACAGCCUGCCUGUGCGGGGAACUUGUCCAAACUUGAUCAUUUAGAGGAAGUAAAAGUCGUAACA
Molecule: ribosomal RNA, 327 nt
Filed under: uncultured eukaryote
Lineage: Eukaryota
Description: partial 18S ribosomal RNA
Rfam family: Eukaryotic small subunit ribosomal RNA
Source: RNAcentral